Molecule: non-coding RNA, 617 nt
Organism: Oryzias latipes (Japanese medaka)
Lineage: Eukaryota; Metazoa; Chordata; Actinopteri; Beloniformes; Adrianichthyidae
Source: RefSeq, a predicted model, not a curated record
CACACUUUUCUGGGUUAAACACACAUUUGUCCAAGACCACUACUUUUUUUACAUUAGGUUACAAUAUGAAAAGUGCAACUUCUACACCAAAAUUAAAAAUAUUAAAUGGUCUUUUAACUUGUCUUAACCUUCCAAUCUUAGCUCACAGCCCUUUUUCUCUGCACUGAUCCAAAAAUAGCUCCUCGCACCUUUACCACUUAAUAGAAACAGGGUCUCUGAUAUGGUGCCGCUGUCAGACUCCUCUCCCUCUCCCCUCCACUUGGCUGCUUCUCCAUCCCAGCUGCUGCCACUUACUUCAUCACCUCUUCUGCCUUCAUAAGGAGCCUCUGGAUCACCAGUCUUCGCCAGUCCGUUGCCCCUGAUGGAAUCCAUUGUCACAAGUGGUCGCCUGCAUCAACUUCUGUCUGGAACCUUCCCUCCGUUCGCUCCCGCUGGUCCCACCUCGAGCCUCUGCCGUCUUCUGCCAUCUCUCGGACCCCCUCCGACGUCAACUCCUUCCGACUGUCUGCAGAAAGAUCCAACAGUGACGCCACUCGAGUUUGAUCUUCACUCUCUGGGAACCCUAGAUCCUGCCCACGGCUUUCUGUCUGUUCACUAUUAAAACCUCUUACCUGCCA